RNAcentral lists this signal recognition particle RNA (86 nucleotides) under Kiritimatiella glycovorans. Its description in RNAcentral is "Bacteria_small_SRP". It matches the Rfam family "Bacterial small signal recognition particle RNA". Rfam says of the family: The signal recognition particle (SRP) is a universally conserved ribonucleoprotein involved in the co-translational targeting of proteins to membranes. Archaeal SRP consists of a 7S RNA and homologues of the eukaryotic SRP19 and SRP54 proteins. Lineage: Bacteria; Pseudomonadati; Kiritimatiellota; Kiritimatiellia; Kiritimatiellales; Kiritimatiellaceae. The record is from RNAcentral.
GACCCUAUGCGACGGUUCGCGGUGAACCCCGUCAGGACCGGAAGGUAGCAGCGGUAAGCCGAAGGAUCGGGCGCCGUAGGUUCUAU